UUGCUUCAGUAGCACAUAGACUGAAAUGGAAGGGUACAGAAAAGAUUAGCAUGGCCCUAGACCAGAAUGACAGGCAAAUUCGUGAAGGUUCUAUUUUUUUU
RNAcentral lists this small nuclear RNA (101 nucleotides) under Sorex araneus (European shrew). Lineage: Eukaryota; Metazoa; Chordata; Mammalia; Eulipotyphla; Soricidae. The record is from RNAcentral.